RNAcentral lists this ribosomal RNA (468 nucleotides) under uncultured bacterium. Its description in RNAcentral is "partial 16S ribosomal RNA". It matches the Rfam family "Bacterial small subunit ribosomal RNA", at positions 28 to 507 of the family's 1533-position model. The record is from RNAcentral.
GAUGAACGCUGGCGGCGUGCUUAACACAUGCAAGUCGAACGGUGAAGGCGGAGCUUGCUCUGCUGGAUCAGUGGCGAACGGGUGAGUAACACGUGAGCAAUCUGCCCCUGACUCUGGGAUAAGCGCUGGAAACGGCGUCUAAUACUGGAUACGAGCUGCGAAGGCAUCUUCAGCAGCUGGAAAGAAUUUCGGUCAGGGAUGAGCUCGCGGCCUAUCAGCUUGUUGGUGAGGUAAUGGCUCACCAAGGCGUCGACGGGUAGCCGGCCUGAGAGGGUGACCGGCCACACUGGGACUGAGACACGGCCCAGACUCCUACGGGAGGCAGCAGUGGGGAAUAUUGCACAAUGGGCGAAAGCCUGAUGCAGCAACGCCGCGUGAGGGACGACGGCCUUCGGGUUGUAAACCUCUUUUAGCAGGGAAGAAGCGAAAGUGACGUUACCUGCAGAAAAAGCGCCGGCUAACUACGUG